This 290-nucleotide unclassified non-coding RNA is filed under the name Oryza sativa (Asian cultivated rice). Lineage: Eukaryota; Viridiplantae; Streptophyta; Magnoliopsida; Poales; Poaceae. The record is from RNAcentral.
UUUUCAGGAUUCAGAUUGGAUGACAUAUGGUAGGCAUGUCACAAGGUGACAUAGCUCAGAUCUCAGCCCUCCAAAACAAAUCCAACGGCUGAGAUUCGUCCACGUCAUCACGAGUUAAAAUUUAACUCGUAGGAGUAAAAAUUUUACUUGGAGUCAAAUUUUAUUGGAGUUAAAUUUUAACUCGUGAUGACGUGGACGAAUCUCAGCUGUUGGAUUUAUUUUGGAGGGCUGAGAUCUACGCUAUAUCACCUUUAACAUGCUUAUCCUAUGUCACCAUCUGAAUCCGCUUU